This 102-nucleotide microRNA precursor is filed under the name Cervus elaphus hippelaphus. Lineage: Eukaryota; Metazoa; Chordata; Mammalia; Artiodactyla; Cervidae. The record is from RNAcentral.
UGCUAGUUCCCUCCGCCUAGGUCCCAAGAGCCUGACUUGUGAUGUUACUAAAAUACCUCACAAGUUAGGGUCUCAGGGACUAGGAAAAGUCCAGUUUGAUGC